Non-coding RNA from Punica granatum (pomegranate), 1712 nucleotides. The record is from RefSeq and is a predicted model, not a curated record. Lineage: Eukaryota; Viridiplantae; Streptophyta; Magnoliopsida; Myrtales; Lythraceae.
AAGCAGAAUAGAGAAAGCCAUUUCAGUUAUGCAGAUUCUCUCUCAGUCUCAUCUUUUAGGGACUUUUCUCAGUAAUUGUCAUGACAACCACCACCGCUAUUCCUACAAGUUCUAGCGCACUUUAUUGAUUUUCUAUAUUCUAUCUAUUGUUGGUGUGCUAUUAUAUUCUAUCUACUGUUGUCCUUGAUUUGGCUAUCGGAAUAUGAGGAUGCUAAACUUACUCAUCAUGCAUUUUGGCUUCUAUACAGUAAAGUAUUUGAAAAGAUAAAUUAGGAUAUAUUCUUUCUGACUGCUAUCCCUGGUGUGCGUGCUGUAACUUAUGUGGGCUAUAGACGCGGCGUUAUAGAUCUAUGCAAUUAUAUUUACUUGCAUAUUCAAUUCAUAUCAGUAGUUUCUUUUGUCACUCCCCCAUGUAACUUCUCGGAAGUUAGUUCCGCAUUUCCUUUGUUACACAUUGACACGUCUGGAUGUACUAGCAAGCAAUAUCCAAGUCUGAGGUAAUUAAAGCUGCAACCGUGUCAAGGAUUUCAUCUUUACAGGUUGCCGGUCAGGAGGUUGAAGGUGAACAUGGAUCAUUGAUCCAUGUUUUCCUGGUUGACCUAGGGAGCGGGGAUGUCGUGCAAGAUCGUACACCAUCGGUCUUAAAGUUGACUGUUCCAGCACAACAUGGAGACCUCGAUGAAGUAGAAAAUGAUUAGGCAAGGGAGGACUUCGAAGUAAAUGAGACAAAUGCACGUCUCCCAGUUAUGACUGGUGAAUUGCAAGUGGCCCUUAAGAAUGGGAUGGGAACGUUGGGAGCUGUUAUAUUUAACUACGAGUCUAGGAUCGCAAGAAGUGGGAAGUUUAGGCUUGGAGUCAAAACUGAUACGAGGGACAAUGAAGGGGUUCAUAUUCUCGAGGGCAUAUCAAACGAAUUCAUAGUGGAGUGGAGUAUGUCGAGGAAAAAAGAAGACACGACGAUGGCGCUGCCGACCUGACAGGCCUUCCAGAAGAUCUGUCGCCAGAAAGUGAUAUGGACGAAUUGUCAGCCCGAAGGAGUCCUAGGCAGAACUUUGUCGAUAGUGAGGCAGAACUCGUUGAUCAGUUUUUACAGUCAACGUCCAAUGCUGAAGUCGAAUAAUAUAAGCAUGAGCAGAAGGACAGAGUCAAAUCGAGGCAGGCAACCCUGAGAUGGCUUAAAGCUGAAAACCAUUUUACAGUGGGCCAUCCUAAGGUGAAUCGUCGUGAGGAAGAGAGCACAAAGAAUGGCCGCACGGAGCCAAGCGCAGAAGCGAUUGAAGGUGUGAAUUGGACUGCCAAAGAACACGGACUUUUCCUAUUAGGUCUGCAGGAGCUCGGGAAGAAUGAUUGGGAAUGUAUCUGCAAGAAGUAUGUCUUUAUCUAAGACGCCUGCUCAAGUGGCAACCCAUGCUUAGAAGUACUUCCAGUAGAAUUUGAGAACUGAGAUCGAAAACGAGGUCAGUUAUUUAUUUUGUUGGAAUCGAUAGUUCGUUGAGAUCGAUUUGUAAGGAUCGAAAGGAAUCUAACUCAUAAUAAUCUCGACGAAACAAUUGAAAUGAGAUGAGGGAAGAGAAGCUUGCAUACUCGUGUACGUGGUUCGGGCCGGCAGUGUCCUAGCCGUACGUCCACGGGCAAAGGAGGCUUUGCCGGUUCUUCUUUUACUAUGGGCAAUAAAGUCGUGGAGUAUUUCCCAAAGCUCCGAUUACAAUGUU